RNAcentral lists this long non-coding RNA (1532 nucleotides) under Marmota monax (woodchuck). Lineage: Eukaryota; Metazoa; Chordata; Mammalia; Rodentia; Sciuridae. The record is from RNAcentral.
GUUAAAUGUUUACAUUAUUUCUUUUUAAAAAACAAUGUUUUGAAUAAGGUUAUAGUGAACAUGUUUGUGUUUAGAUCUUUAAGAUCCUUCCAGUUUGCCAAAUUGUUUUUCCAGAAUGCUGGUCCCCGUUUGUACUCUCACCAGGAAUAAAUGAGAAUGAUUUUUUAACACCAAAACCAUAUUGUGCCCCAUCAGUAACAAAGUAGCUCUCCUAACAGGGCUGUCCUUCCUUUCCUGGUCUUUCAAUGAACAUAGGUUGAGCGUUGGCUCAGGCUUCAGUUUGUUCCAGGGUCUCGAGGUAUCUAACAUGAGCUCCCUGGAACUUCCGACCCAGCUGAGACUAAGUGAACUUGUCUGGUCACCAGAUGUGUGGCAAUGGUGGCCUUUUGUUUUGAUUGGGGUUUGUGGGCGAGCUUAUAUCCUGCUUUCCCCAGGAGCAUCCCAGGGUCAAAACGCUCUUGAAAAACACCCGGUGUUUAUUUGCUCAGAUACAGAAAACAAAUACAAGCGGAACCAGAGCUUUUUAAAAACAGUGCACAAAGCCAAAGUAAAUCUUACUAAUAACCUCAUCCAAGUGUUGGGUACCUAUUAAGAUAGUUAGUAGCAUAACUGAGCCAGAGAUUUUUGAAGGCAAAAGUUCCCUCCUUUGUGAGCUGAGUCUACAUUUUCUUUGUUCUGUUGGAAUGAUUGUUUCAGACAUUUUCAAAAUUUUUUUUAGUUCUAAGUUGUCAUAAUACCUUUAUUUUAUUUUUAUGUGGUACUAAGGAUUGAACCUAGUGCCUCAAGUGUGCUAGGCAAGUGCUGUACCACUAAGCCACAACCCCAGCCCCUCAGAAAUGUUCUUUAAUAUAUUGAUCAAUUUAUGCUAAGAUUACCAUUUUAUCAGCAAAAUUCCAAUUGUGGGUGACUUUUUCCUCUAUUUAAAGCACACACUUAACUAACAUGAUGGCUCUUCUAUUCUUUCAAAUACCUAGGCAAAAGUAGCUGAGAGUCAGCCUAUCACAUGUGGAACAGCCAACAAUGUCUUGGGCACGUUAGACAAUUCAGGCACCCUGCUAAGUCCUGUUUUACAGGCAACAUCUGAGAAGUCUGAUGCUCAGUGGGUUAAUUGCCCAGAAUUACACAGCUUAACAUUUCAAUUCAGGUUUCAUGACUUACCAGCUUCUGUUCUUAACCAUUAACCUCUCUAAUCACUAUGACAUUGCAGUUUAGUAAUCCUACAUAUGAAAAUCACUUCCCUGGAAAUUUUGAGUUUUAAUUUAAUUAUACACGACUUGUUUAAAGGGCACCACAAAAGAGAACAUCCGUAUCCCACCAAAUAGUAAUUAAUUCUCAGUCCUUAUUUUACUUGGCCUGUCUGCAGUGCUUGACCCAUGUGUCAUCCUCUCCUCCUGUGAACGAGUGGCGUCCAGGGUUCCUGCUCUCCCAGGUUUCCUCCUACCACACUGGGUGACCCUUCCCAGCCUCCUUUGCUGGUUCCUCCCCAAUCUCAUUGCCACUUAAUAUGGAAGUGCCCUAAGGCUCAGCUCCUG